GGGUUUUUGGUUUAGGGUACGUAUAUGAUUAAUUUAAGAUUUAAGGUCGAUUUAGGAGUUACUAUUUUAAGGUUUAGGGAGUAUGAAUUUAAGGAUUAUGGAUUAUGGAUUAUGGAUUAUGGUUUAAGGGUUAGAAUUUAAGGUUUAGGGGUUAGGGGUUAAGGGUUUAAGGGUUAGAGGUUAUGGGGUUAAGAGUUAGGGAUUCAAGGGUCGGGUUAGGUUUUUG
RNAcentral lists this long non-coding RNA (226 nucleotides) under Gossypium barbadense (sea-island cotton). Its description in RNAcentral is "long non-coding RNA (GBAR_LNC022249)". Lineage: Eukaryota; Viridiplantae; Streptophyta; Magnoliopsida; Malvales; Malvaceae. The record is from RNAcentral.